This 561-nucleotide long non-coding RNA is filed under the name Monodelphis domestica (gray short-tailed opossum). RNAcentral describes it as "lncRNA (ENSMODG00000035519.2)". Lineage: Eukaryota; Metazoa; Chordata; Mammalia; Didelphimorphia; Didelphidae. The record is from RNAcentral.
UACAUAAUAGAAAAACUUUGAUUCUUAGUGUUCUCUUUUCCCUUUCUACUACUCAGCCACCAUCACUGCUAUAGCAAGAUUUUGAGUAACAGCCUAGAAUUCUCCAAGAGCUGACUGGGUAAAAGUUCUAAGCUGUUGAAGGAGGAGGAGUUUUCCAACAGUGAGUCUGGAGCUGGAAGUGAAAACUAAAGCUGUGGAUCUGAGACUCCCAUGGAAAAACCAUCUAUCAAGCAGCCUGCCUGUGAGGAUCAACUAGAAGAGGUGGAGAGGAAAUCUCCAGUCAUCCUGGUGGACAGAUUGACUGGGGAAGAGAAUCUCUACUUUGCCUGGAUCAUCUAAGGACAGCAUAACUUGGAUUCCUGCUCCCUGACCCACCAAAGGAUUCUAAAAAGUGAGAAGCAACAUCCAGAAAGAUGGAAGGAAACAUCUCAGCUCCCAUGAAAGCUUCGGAGCUGGGGAGUAAAUGGGAAAUGAAUUAUGGGUUGCGACAGAUGUUAGUCAAAGGCAUCCCUCCGCUAGCCAAAGGAGCUAUGAGUGAAAGACGGUCAAUUUCACCAUCAG